This 465-nucleotide ribosomal RNA is filed under the name uncultured Klebsiella sp. RNAcentral's name for it is "bacterial SSU rRNA". It matches the Rfam family "Bacterial small subunit ribosomal RNA", at positions 338 to 795 of the family's 1533-position model. The record is from RNAcentral. Lineage: Bacteria; Pseudomonadati; Pseudomonadota; Gammaproteobacteria; Enterobacterales; Enterobacteriaceae.
CCUACGGGGGGCAGCAGUGGGGAAUAUUGCACAAUGGGCGCAAGCCUGAUGCAGCCAUGCCGCGUGUGUGAAGAAGGCCUUCGGGUUGUAAAGCACUUUCAGCGGGGGGGAAGGCGUUAAGGUUAAUAACCUUGGCGAUUGACGUUACCCGCAGAAGAAGCACCGGCUAACUCCGUGCCAGCAGCCGCGGUAAUACGGAGGGUGCAAGCGUUAAUCGGAAUUACUGGGCGUAAAGCGCACGCAGGCGGUCUGUCAAGUCGGAUGUGAAAUCCCCGGGCUCAACCUGGGAACUGCAUUCGAAACUGGCAGGCUAGAGUCUUGUAGAGGGGGGUAGAAUUCCAGGUGUAGCGGUGAAAUGCGUAGAGAUCUGGAGGAAUACCGGUGGCGAAGGCGGCCCCCUGGACAAAGACUGACGCUCAGGUGCGAAAGCGUGGGGAGCAAACAGGAUUAGAUACCCGAGUAGUC